RNAcentral lists this ribosomal RNA (479 nucleotides) under uncultured bacterium. RNAcentral describes it as "partial 16S ribosomal RNA". It matches the Rfam family "Bacterial small subunit ribosomal RNA", at positions 28 to 507 of the family's 1533-position model. The record is from RNAcentral.
GAUGAACGCUGGCGGCGUGCUUAACACAUGCAAGUCGAGCGAGAAGUUUUGAAAAGAUUCUUCGGAUGAAAUUUAAAAUGGAAAGCGGCGGACGGGUGAGUAACGCGUAGGCAACCUGCCCCAUACAAAGGGAUAGCAUUUGGAAACGAAUAUUAAUACCUUAUGAAACUUAACUAGUGCAUGCUAGGUAGGUCAAAGAUUUAUCGGUAUGGGAUGGGCCUGCGUCUGAUUAGCUAGUUGGUGAGGUAACGGCUCACCAAGGCGACGAUCAGUAGCCGACCUGAGAGGGUGAACGGCCACAUUGGAACUGAGACACGGUCCAAACUCCUACGGGAGGCAGCAGUGGGGAAUAUUGCACAAUGGGGGAAACCCUGGUGCAGCAACGCCGCGUGAACGAUGAAGGCCUUUGGGUCGUAAAGUUCUGUUCUAGGUGAUGAAAACUGACAGUAACCUAGGAGAAAGCCCCGGCUAACUCCGUG